This 253-nucleotide ribosomal RNA is filed under the name uncultured bacterium. RNAcentral's name for it is "partial 16S ribosomal RNA". It matches the Rfam family "Bacterial small subunit ribosomal RNA", at positions 524 to 776 of the family's 1533-position model. The record is from RNAcentral.
UACGUAGGGCGCAAGCGUUAUCCGGAAUUACUGGGCGUAAAGCGUGCGCAGGCGGUUUUGUAAGCCAGAUGUGAAAUCCCCGGGCUUAACCUGGGAAUGGCAUUUGGGACUGCAAGGCUGGAGUGCGGCAGAGGAGACUGGAAUUCCUGGUGUAGCGGUGAAAUGCGCAGAUAUCAGGAAGAACACCAAUGGCGAAAGCAGCUCUCUGGGACGGUACUGACGCUGAGACGCGAAAGCGUGGGGAGCGAACAGG